RNAcentral lists this ribosomal RNA (499 nucleotides) under uncultured bacterium. RNAcentral describes it as "partial 16S ribosomal RNA". It matches the Rfam family "Bacterial small subunit ribosomal RNA", at positions 29 to 523 of the family's 1533-position model. The record is from RNAcentral.
AUUGAACGCUGGCGGAAUGCUUUACACAUGCAAGUCGAGCGGCAGCGCGGGGCAACCUGGCGGCGAGCGGCGAACGGGUGAGUAAUGCAUCGGAACGUGUCCAUGUCGUGGGGGAUAGCCCGGCGAAAGCCGGAUUAAUACCGCAUACGCCCGAGAGGGGAAAGUGGGGGACCGCAAGGCCUCACGCGAUUGGUUCGGCCGAUGUCCGAUUAGCUAGUUGGCGGGGUAAAGGACCACCAAGGCGAUGAUCGGUAGCUGGUCUGAGAGGAUGGUCCGCCACACGGGGACUGAGACACGGCCCAGACCACUACUGGAGGCAGCAGUGGGGAAUUUUGGACAAUGGGGGCAACCCUGAUCCAGCAAUGCCGCGUGUGUGAAGAAGGCCUUCGGGUUGUAAAGCACUUUUGUCCGGAAAGAAAUGGCUCUGGUUAAUACCUGGGGUCGAUGACGUUACCGGAAGAAUAAGGACCGGCUAACUACGUGCCAGCAGCCGCCGUAA